CGCCCCGGCUAGUGGGGGGUUUUCUCGGCCCGCGUCCCGGGACCCCCUGCUCGGGACUGUCCGCAUAAUGCUAAUGACAGUAACCCGCAGCCCCUGGGCACCUGGACCAGGUGGUUUGCGUUUCUAAUCCGGAACGCAGUGCCAGACCUUCAGGAGGCUCAGGAUCCCCUGCGGAGGAAACUGUGUUCUCAGGGAGCAGGAAGAUGGAAUACUUCAUCCCAAGUGUGACUUGUUAGCUGUGGAAUUUCAAGGACAAAGCAGUGGGCUCUGGUUUGUUUUUGGAAGUAGUUUUACUUUGGCCAUUGAUCUCAUGUUCCCCUGCGGGGGUACAAGAUCCUCAGCGAAGGGCCAGCCCUGGAGAGUUCAGGAGGGCGGCCCACCACCUACCCUGAAUCAGCACGGACAGGCUUCUCCGGGGGAUUUCACCGUAGGAGAAGGAGCCCCAGCCCAGGGAGAGCCCCUCCCUGGGAGGAUGGUGACCACACAAUGCAACACUGUUGAUGUAUUGUAGAAUUGUACACCUGACGCCUGGCCAGUGCAGUUCAGUGGUUGAGCAUUGACCCAUGCACCAAGAGGUCACUGGUUUGAUUUCUGGCC
This is a long non-coding RNA of Molossus molossus (Pallas's mastiff bat), 597 nucleotides long. RefSeq lists it as uncharacterized. The record is from RefSeq and is a predicted model, not a curated record. Lineage: Eukaryota; Metazoa; Chordata; Mammalia; Chiroptera; Molossidae. The transcript has 4 exons.